UAGCUCAGUGGUAGAGUGCGUGCUUAGCAUGCACGAGGUCCUGGGUUCGAUCCCCAG
RNAcentral lists this transfer RNA (57 nucleotides) under Camelus bactrianus (Bactrian camel). It matches the Rfam family "tRNA", at positions 8 to 63 of the family's 71-position model. Rfam says of the family: Transfer RNA (tRNA) molecules are approximately 80 nucleotides in length. Their secondary structure includes four short double-helical elements and three loops (D, anti-codon, and T loops). RNAcentral also lists the same sequence under 2 other names. The record is from Rfam by way of RNAcentral. Lineage: Eukaryota; Metazoa; Chordata; Mammalia; Artiodactyla; Camelidae.